GUCAGGAUGGCCGAGCGGUCUAAGGCGCUGCGUUCAGGUCGCAGUCCAUCUGUGGGCGUGGGUUCGAAUCCACUUCUGACA
This 81-nucleotide transfer RNA is filed under the name Trichonephila clavata. It matches the Rfam family "tRNA". Rfam says of the family: Transfer RNA (tRNA) molecules are approximately 80 nucleotides in length. Their secondary structure includes four short double-helical elements and three loops (D, anti-codon, and T loops). Further hydrogen bonds mediate the characteristic L-shaped molecular structure. tRNAs have two regions of fundamental functional importance: the anti-codon, which is responsible for specific mRNA codon recognition, and the 3' end, to which the tRNAs corresponding amino acid is attached (by aminoacyl-tRNA synthetases). tRNAs cope with the degeneracy of the genetic code in two manners: having more than one tRNA (with a specific anti-codon) for a particular amino acid; and 'wobble' base-pairing, i.e. permitting non-standard base-pairing at the 3rd anti-codon position. The record is from Rfam by way of RNAcentral. Lineage: Eukaryota; Metazoa; Arthropoda; Arachnida; Araneae; Nephilidae.